CCCGGGAUCCCUAGUAGCGGCGAGCGAGCGGGAAGAGCUCAAAUUUAUAAUCUGGCACCUUCGGUGUCCGAGUUGUAAUCUCUAGAAAUGUUUUCCGCGUUGGACCGCACACAAGUCUGUUGGAAUACAGCGGCAUAGUGGUGAGACCCCCGUAUAUGGUGCGGACGCCCAGCGCUUUGUGAUACAUUUUCGAAGAGUCGAGUUGUUUGGGAAUGCAGCUCAAAUUGGGUGGUAAAUUCCAUCUAAAGCUAAAUAUUGGCGAGAGACCGAUAGCGAACAAGUACCGUGAGGGAAAGAUGAAAAGCACUUUGGAAAGAGAGUUAACAGUACGUGAAAUUGUUGGAAGGGAAACGCUUGAAGUCAGACUUGCUUGCCGAGCAAUCGGUUUGCAGGCCAGCAUCAGUUUUCCGGGAUGGAUAAUGGUAGAGAGAAGGUAGCAGUUUCGGCUGUGUUAUAGCUCUCUGCUGGAUACAUCUUGGGGGACUGAGGAACGCAGUGUGCCUUUUGGCGGGGGUUUCGACCUCUUCACACUUAGGAUGCUGGGGGAAUGGCUUUAAACGACCCGUCUUGAAACCACGGACCA
RNAcentral lists this ribosomal RNA (583 nucleotides) under Rhodotorula mucilaginosa. Its description in RNAcentral is "partial large subunit ribosomal RNA". It matches the Rfam family "Eukaryotic large subunit ribosomal RNA", at positions 68 to 668 of the family's 3401-position model. The record is from RNAcentral. Lineage: Eukaryota; Fungi; Basidiomycota; Microbotryomycetes; Sporidiobolales; Sporidiobolaceae.